UUUAGGACACAGGGGGGCUGGAUUUGGCCAGCUGAGAUUAAGAACCGAUAUUCUUUGACCCUAUAACCUGAACUGGGUAAUGCCAGCGUAGGAAGUUGUUUGCUACUAAUCU
Molecule: non-coding RNA, 112 nt
Filed under: Clostridium cavendishii
Lineage: Bacteria; Bacillati; Bacillota; Clostridia; Eubacteriales; Clostridiaceae
Also listed under: 1 other name
Description: TPP sequence
Rfam family: TPP riboswitch aptamer (THI element)
About the family: Vitamin B(1) in its active form thiamin pyrophosphate (TPP) is an essential coenzyme that is synthesised by coupling of pyrimidine and thiazole moieties in bacteria. The previously detected thiamin-regulatory element, thi box was extended, resulting in a new, highly conserved RNA secondary structure, the THI element, which is widely distributed in eubacteria and also occurs in some archaea. Analysis of operon structures identified a large number of new candidate thiamin-regulated genes, mostly transporters, in various prokaryotic organisms.
Source: RNAcentral